RNAcentral lists this non-coding RNA (148 nucleotides) under Chlorocebus sabaeus (green monkey). Lineage: Eukaryota; Metazoa; Chordata; Mammalia; Primates; Cercopithecidae. The record is from Rfam by way of RNAcentral.
GCCAGGCGUUGUGGUGCGCGCCUGUAGUCCCAGCUCCUUGGGAGGCUGAGGUAGGAGGAUUUCUUGAGCCUAGGAGGUUGAGGCUGCAGUGAGCCAUGAUCUUGCCACUGCACUCCAGCCUAAGCAACAGAGUGAGACCUUAUCUCAA